Molecule: ribosomal RNA, 514 nt
Filed under: Epizoanthus illoricatus
Lineage: Eukaryota; Metazoa; Cnidaria; Anthozoa; Zoantharia; Epizoanthidae
Description: partial 16S ribosomal RNA
Rfam family: Bacterial large subunit ribosomal RNA
Source: RNAcentral
GAAGGCCCCACUGUCUUAAGAGAAUUCCCAGUGAAAUUGAAUUCGUAGUGAAGAUGCUACGUCCAAUUUGUUAGACGAAAAGACCCCAUUGAGCUUUACUGGAGACUUACAUUGCUCGGAUCGACUCUCGCCCCCAGGGGGGGGGUCGAAUUUAAAUGGAUAGCUUAGAUUAUGUGGUGUCAUAACCAUCGAUCAAGUAGUCCCUACGGGAUUGCCCCGAAGGUAGACCUGUUUGGGUGAAUGAAACCCCACUCUUUUAUGUUAAAUGAGCUAACCCUUUCUCUCUUAAGGGGGACAAUGUAAGUUGGACAGUUUGGUUGGGGCGACCGCCUUUUAAAGAGUAACGAAGGUGUGCUUAAGGUACACAAUUAAUAUCAGUAGCCUGACUGCGAGGGGGAUUCCCCCGAGCAGACACCUAAAGUCUUCUCUCUUCCCCCCCGAAGGUUAAAGACGAAUGGUGGGUUAUAGUGACCCGUUAAUUUAGAGUGGAAUAGUUAACGAUCAACAAAUAAAA